RNAcentral lists this ribosomal RNA (253 nucleotides) under uncultured bacterium. RNAcentral's name for it is "partial 16S ribosomal RNA". It matches the Rfam family "Bacterial small subunit ribosomal RNA", at positions 524 to 776 of the family's 1533-position model. The record is from RNAcentral.
GACGUAGGGCGCGAGCGUUGUCCGGAUUUAUUGGGCGUAAAGAGCUCGUAGGCGGCUUGUCGCGUCGUCCGUGAAAACUUGAGGCUCAACCUCAAGAGGUCAUCGGAAACCAUCUGGCUAGAGUCCGGAAGAGGAGAGUGGAAUUCCCGGUGUAGCGGUGAAAUGCGCAGAUAUCGGGAAGAACACCCAUGGCGAAGGCAGCUCUCUGGGACGGUACUGACGCUGAGACGCGAAAGCGUGGGGAGCGAACAGG